UUGAUUCAUUUUGAAUUUUUGCUCAGAGCUGUAAGAAAUAACGUCCGCGAGGGGACUACAGAAAGAGUUUGGUUGUUUUUUCCUCCGGCGGGCGCCUUGGUCCGGGGCUGCGACGCGCCCGGGGCAGAGAUCCCGCCGAGGCAACAGUUUGGUAACGUUCACAUUGGGUUUGGGAGUUGUAAACUCGGUAAUGAUCCCUCCGCUGGUUCACCAACGGAGA
RNAcentral lists this unclassified non-coding RNA (220 nucleotides) under uncultured fungus. Its description in RNAcentral is "sequence contains ITS1". Lineage: Eukaryota; Fungi. The record is from RNAcentral.